Molecule: ribosomal RNA, 1148 nt
Filed under: uncultured bacterium
Lineage: Bacteria
Description: bacterial SSU rRNA
Rfam family: Bacterial small subunit ribosomal RNA
Source: RNAcentral
GAAAAGGGGGGGAGGCUACACAUGCAAGUCGAGCGGAAACGAGUUAACUGAACCUUCGGGGAACGUUAACGGCGUCGAGCGGCGGACGGGUGAGUAAUGCCUGGGAAAUUGCCCUGAUGUGGGGGAUAACCAUUGGAAACGAUGGCUAAUACCGCAUAAUAGCUUCGGCUCAAAGAGGGGGACCUUCGGGCCUCUCGCGUCAGGAUAUGCCCAGGUGGGAUUAGCUAGUUGGUGAGGUAAUGGCUCACCAAGGCGACGAUCCCUAGCUGGUCUGAGAGGAUGAUCAGCCACACUGGAACUGAGACACGGUCCAGACUCCUACGGGAGGCAGCAGUGGGGAAUAUUGCACAAUGGGCGCAAGCCUGAUGCAGCCAUGCCGCGUGUAUGAAGAAGGCCUUCGGGUUGUAAAGUACUUUCAGCAGUGAGGAAGGUGGGUAUGUUAAUAGCAUACACAUUUGACGUUAGCUGCAGAAGAAGCACCGGCUAACUCCGUGCCAGCAGCCGCGGUAAUACGGAGGGUGCGAGCGUUAAUCGGAAUUACUGGGCGUAAAGCGCAUGCAGGUGGUUUGUUAAGUCAGAUGUGAAAGCCCGGGGCUCAACCUCGGAAUUGCAUUUGAAACUGGCAAACUAGAGUACUGUAGAGGGGGGUAGAAUUUCAGGUGUAGCGGUGAAAUGCGUAGAGAUCUGAAGGAAUACCGGUGGCGAAGGCGGCCCCCUGGACAGAUACUGACACUCAGAUGCGAAAGUGUGGGGAGCAAACAGGAUUAGAUACCCUGGUAGUCCACGCCGUAAACGAUGUCUACUUGGAGGUUGUGGCCUUGAGCCGUGGCUUUCGGAGCUAACGCGUUAAGUAGACCGCCUGGGGAGUACGGUCGCAAGAUUAAAACUCAAAUGAAUUGACGGGGGCCCGCACAAGCGGUGGAGCGUGUGGUUUAAUUCGAUGCAACGCGAAGAACCUUACCUACUCUUGACAUCUACAGAAGCCAGCGGAGACGCAGGUGUGCCUUCGGGAACUGUAAGACAGGUGCUGCAUGGCUGUCGUCACCUCGUGUUGUGAAAUGUUGGGUUAAGUCCCGCAACCAACGCCAACCCUUAUCCCUUGUUUGCCAGCCCUUCCGGGUGGGAACUCCACGGAAAACUGCCCGGGG